This 350-nucleotide unclassified non-coding RNA is filed under the name plant metagenome. RNAcentral's name for it is "partial contains 5.8S ribosomal RNA, internal transcribed spacer 2, and large subunit ribosomal RNA". The stretch from base 1 to 105 matches the Rfam family "5.8S ribosomal RNA", at positions 50 to 154 of the family's 154-position model. The record is from RNAcentral.
UAAAUUCUAUAAUUAAUUUUAAUUUCAGAAUUCAGUGAAUCAUCGAAUCUUUUAACUCACCUUGCGCUCCUUGGUAUUCCGAGGAGCAUGCCUGUUUGAGUGUCAUGGAAUUCUCAACUCUAUUUUCUUUUGUGAAUAGAGCUUGGAUUUGGAGGUUUAUUGCUGGUACUUGUGAUCGGCUCCUCUUGAAUGCAUUAGCUCGAACCUUUGCGGAUCAGCUAUCGGUGUGAUAAUUGUCUACGCCGUUGCAGUGAAGCAUAUCAAUGGGCUCGGCUUCCAAUCGUCCUUUACUGGACAAUGACUUUGACCUUUGACCUCAAAUCAGGUAGGAUUACCCGCUGAACUUAAGC